RNAcentral lists this long non-coding RNA (551 nucleotides) under Dasypus novemcinctus (nine-banded armadillo). RNAcentral describes it as "lncRNA (ENSDNOG00000050697.1)". Lineage: Eukaryota; Metazoa; Chordata; Mammalia; Cingulata; Dasypodidae. The record is from RNAcentral.
GUUCCCUGUGUCACGCUAAUUAUACCAUGGUGGAGAAAUGCUGGACUAGGCACUCUCUCAGGCUCUGAUGGGCCCUGAGAGUGGGAAGGACACUUCUGGGUGGGGGGCUGUAGCAGAGGGCUAAGGGAGGCAGUCGGGGCCCACUGCUGCGAGUCCUGUGGAGGGGGGAGGCCCUUCUCCCUGCCUCCGAUGGCCACCUUUGUCCCUCCAGGCAGCCAUCCAGACAGCCCUGAAGUCAGAGGAGCCCGCCCUGGCUCUCAGGCUCUACGAAGAAGCUGGGGACGUGUUCUUCAAUGGGACCCGCGGCAGGCAUCGUGCGGUGGAGUAUUACCGAGCUGGGGCUGUUCCUUUAGCAAGGAGGAUGAAAGUGGUCAGAACAGAGCUCCGGAUUUUCAACAAACUGACAGAGCUGCAGAUGAGCCUUGAAGGCUAUGACAAGGCUUUGGAAUUUGCCACCCUGGCUGCCAGACUCAGCGCAGUCACGGGUAGGUGGUCCUAAUUGCUGGGCAAGUCGAAUGGGAGAAAUAAACACUACUCCAGGGUGGAUGCCA